UGGGGCAUCGUCCAAAGGCAGGACAGAGGACUUUGAAUCCUCUUAUCUAGGUUCGACUCCUAGUGCCCCAG
Molecule: transfer RNA, 71 nt
Filed under: Deltaproteobacteria bacterium
Lineage: Bacteria; Pseudomonadati; Myxococcota; Myxococcia
Also listed under: 1 other name
Description: tRNA-Gln
Rfam family: tRNA
About the family: Transfer RNA (tRNA) molecules are approximately 80 nucleotides in length. Their secondary structure includes four short double-helical elements and three loops (D, anti-codon, and T loops).
Source: RNAcentral